Molecule: long non-coding RNA, 570 nt
Filed under: Homo sapiens (human)
Lineage: Eukaryota; Metazoa; Chordata; Mammalia; Primates; Hominidae
Description: HSALNT0406123
Source: RNAcentral
AAUACAUAUUAGCUAUUACUAUGAGUAGCACUAAUUAUUCCAUUUUUGCAGGUGAGAGAAAUGAGGCAUGACAGAUAACUUGUAAGUUCUCGAAGUUUACAAUGGUAAAGCCAGGCCGGGUGCAGUGGCAUGCACCUGUAAUCACAGCAACUCAUGAGAUUAAAGCAGGAGGACCUCUUGAGCCCAGGAGUUUGAGGUUUCAGUGAGCUAUGAUCAUGCCACUGCACUCCAACCUGGGCAACAGAGCAAAACCCUGUCAAUCAAUCAAGCAAGCAGACAAGCAAGGAAGCAAGCAGCAGAGCCUCUGCAUGAGCUCAUGAAUGGCUGCUGUGGAAAAUUACUGACGUCACCAGCUGAAUAACAGGCUAUCUGGAGAGUAAGCAGAUGAAACUGAUGUUAAAUUAUCAAAUGUACAAGAUUUUGGGCUCCUGCCAAAACCUUCAUUGAGAACUAAGAAGAGAAAAACUGAAAACACACAGAGCUUUUUUUAAGCUUCUGAGCCAGCAGGCUGUUCCUACAUCCACUCCAGGCAUAGAAAGAUGGCUGUAAAAUAAAAGAGAUGAUUAUCUC